This 484-nucleotide ribosomal RNA is filed under the name uncultured bacterium. Its description in RNAcentral is "partial 16S ribosomal RNA". It matches the Rfam family "Bacterial small subunit ribosomal RNA", at positions 30 to 507 of the family's 1533-position model. The record is from RNAcentral.
AUUGAACGCUAGCGGGAUGCUUUACACAUGCAAGUCGAACGGCAGCGCGGACUUCGGUCUGGCGGCGAGUGGCGAACGGGUGAGUAAUGUAUCGGAACGUGCCCAGUAGCGGGGGAUAACUACGCGAAAGCGUAGCUAAUACCGCAUACGCCCUACGGGGGAAAGCAGGGGAUCGUAAGACCUUGCACUAUUGGAGCGGCCGAUAUCGGAUUAGCUAGUUGGUGAGGUAACGGCUCACCAAGGCGACGAUCCGUAGCUGGUGUGAGAGGACGACCAGCCACACUGGGACUGAGACACGGCCCAGACUCCUACGGGAGGCAGCAGUGGGGAAUUUUGGACAAUGGGGGCAACCCUGAUCCAGCAAUCCCGCGUGUGCGAUGAAGGCCUUCGGGUUGUAAAGCACUUUUGGCAGGAAAGAAACGUCGCGGGCUAAUACCCCGUGGAACUGACGGUACCUGCAGAAUAAGCACCGGCUAACUACGUG